This 551-nucleotide ribosomal RNA is filed under the name uncultured organism. RNAcentral describes it as "eukaryotic LSU rRNA". The stretch from base 197 to 350 matches the Rfam family "5.8S ribosomal RNA". The record is from RNAcentral.
UUCCGUAGGUGAACCUGCGGAGGGAUCAUUACACAAAUAUGAAGGCGGGCUGGAACCUCUCGGGGUUACAGCCUUGCUGAAUUAUUCACCCUUGUCUUUUGCGUACUUCUUGUUUCCUUGGUGGGUUCGCCCACCACUAGGACAAACAUAAACCUUUUGUAAUUGCAAUCAGCGUCAGUAACAAAUUAAUAAUUACAACUUUCAACAACGGAUCUCUUGGUUCUGGCAUCGAUGAAGAACGCAGCGAAAUGCGAUAAGUAGUGUGAAUUGCAGAAUUCAGUGAAUCAUCGAAUCUUUGAACGCACAUUGCGCCCUUUGGUAUUCCAAAGGGCAUGCCUGUUCGAGCGUCAUUUGUACCCUCAAGCUUUGCUUGGUGUUGGGCGUCUUGUCUCUAGCUUUGCUGGAGACUCGCCUUAAAGUAAUUGGCAGCCGGCCUACUGGUUUCGGAGCGCAGCACAAGUCGCACUCUCUAUCAGCAAAGGUCUAGCAUCCAUUAAGCCUUUUUUUUCAACUUUUGACCUCGGAUCAGGUAGGGAUACCCGCUGAACUUA